RNAcentral lists this long non-coding RNA (621 nucleotides) under Homo sapiens (human). RNAcentral describes it as "non-protein coding MIR7-3HG:20". Lineage: Eukaryota; Metazoa; Chordata; Mammalia; Primates; Hominidae. The record is from RNAcentral.
ACGGGACACCUGCAUCUGCCAACAAGACUGGAAGCAGGUGAGGCACACAGAGGGGGAGGCCCGCAGCUGCGUGGGAGGAGGGGUGGUCUGAGGGACGUGGGAUGCCGGGAAUGAGGCUGGUUUGCAGGUUGGCGCAUGGACAUUUUCCCAGAAAGGGACAGAGACGGCGAAGUUUGACGGUCUGGAAAGCAGAGACCAGCAGGGCUGACUGCUUGGGAGGAGGAGAAUGCUAUUUAUUUCAGCACCAAAUAUCCGGACAGCGCCUCUCGGGAGGUCCGAGAAGAGAACCGCGAUCUGUUUCAGCACCGGGGCUCAGGACAGUUCCCAGCGGGCUCCGUUUCGUCUCCAGAACCCUGGACAGCUCCUCCAGCUUGGAAUGCACUCCCUCCACCUCCAACCAGAGCUCCCCACAACUGACCCUGCCUUCUUCUGCAAGCUCCAUUUCAUCAAGGGAAACGAUCCUUAUUGCCUCACCAUUUCCCACGUGAAGUCUGUAUUGACAUUCUCAUAGACCUGGGAUAUUGUGUCUGCAGCACAUAGUCCAAUUAUUUUCAUGUUAUCUACUGACAGGUCUAUUUGUCUCCCUGUUACACUGUGAGCUCCGUGAGGGCAGAAACAAUG